UACGGAGGGGGCUAGCGUUGUUCGGAAUUACUGGGCGUAAAGCGCGCGUAGGCGGCCCUGCAAGUCCGGUGUGAAAGCCCGCGGCUCAACCUCGGAACUGCCUUCGAUACUGCGGGUCUCGAGUCCGGGAGAGGUGAGUGGAAUUCCUAGUGUAGAGGUGAAAUUCGUAGAUAUUAGGAAGAACACCAGUGGCGAAGGCGGCUCACUGGACCGGUACUGACGCUGAGGCGCGAAAGCGAGGGGAGCAAACAGG
This 253-nucleotide ribosomal RNA is filed under the name uncultured bacterium. Its description in RNAcentral is "partial 16S ribosomal RNA". It matches the Rfam family "Bacterial small subunit ribosomal RNA", at positions 524 to 776 of the family's 1533-position model. The record is from RNAcentral.